Molecule: long non-coding RNA, 772 nt
Organism: Anas platyrhynchos (mallard)
Lineage: Eukaryota; Metazoa; Chordata; Aves; Anseriformes; Anatidae
Source: RefSeq, a predicted model, not a curated record
CAAGACCAGAGCUUGAUGUACCAGGUUGCUAACCCUGCAAACCUAUCCAGAAGCCUGAUAAAAACCUUUUGCAAAGACAGGCAAUGCCUGGCUCUCCUGAUGGUGCACUCUGAGCGUGGUGGAGUCAGCUAGCGAGGAAAGAAGACGUCACUGCAUCUGCUCCACAUUAAAGGAAUCAGUUCAACAGUUGAGAAAUGAGUAAGCAUUAAAACCACAUUUCCCAGGGCCCAGCCGCUCCAAAGUUACAAGAUGAGCCUUCCGCAGCAACUUUCUCUCUGAGAGCUGUAACAGACUGACUCCUGAGACAAAUUCCACUGUUUUUUUAAAAUAUUUUAUUAAUAAUCCAUUAGUUAAGGAAUAUAAGGACAAUGUCUUCUUACACUUUAACACUAAAGAGUAUUCGUGGAGUAAGAACAGUCUCUGAAGAAAGAAAGUUAUAAUUAAGUACAGCAUGGAACCAAAUACAGACACAAUCUUCAAACAAGAUCAAGUUCUGGUUACACGUCCUUAUGCACUGUGUAGAAAGUUAAAUGAAAUUUAAUUUUAAAAUAUUAUCGAGGGAAUACAGUAACAGAACGAGAUGGUGGAUUUCUGCUGGACUAAAGCCCUCUUUUCUAACAAGGGUAUUGAUUAGAAAAGACAAAAUGAUCCCUUCAAGACAUCUAUUUCUAAUGAGACCAAAAACAUAUAUAGCAAUGUACUGAAGUGGUUGUUUUCUUAUACAGCAUGUUUCAUGGGCUGAUCUCAGGAUUAUUAGGCUAGUAACAUAAAA